RNAcentral lists this ribosomal RNA (251 nucleotides) under uncultured bacterium. RNAcentral's name for it is "partial 16S ribosomal RNA". It matches the Rfam family "Bacterial small subunit ribosomal RNA", at positions 526 to 776 of the family's 1533-position model. The record is from RNAcentral.
CGUAGGUUGCAAGCGUUAAUCGGAAUUACUGGGCGUAAAGCGUGCGUAGACGGUUAUUUAAGUCGGAUGUGAAAGCCCCGGGCUCAACCUGGGAAUUGCAUUCGAGACUGAAUAGCUAGGGUGCGGUAGAGGGAAGCGGAAUUUCCGGUGUAGCGGUGAAAUGCGUAGAUAUCUGGAGGAACACCGGUGGCGAAGGCGGCAUCCUGGACCAACACUGACACUGAGGAGCGAAAGCCAGGGGAGCAAACGGG